Molecule: ribosomal RNA, 433 nt
Filed under: uncultured bacterium
Lineage: Bacteria
Description: partial 16S ribosomal RNA
Rfam family: Bacterial small subunit ribosomal RNA
Source: RNAcentral
AACGAACGCUGGCGGCAUGCCUAACACAUGCAAGUCGAACGAGACCUUCGGGUCUAGUGGCGCACGGGUGCGUAACCCGUGGGAACCUGCCCUUAGGUUCGGAAUAACUCCCCGAAAGGGGUGCUAAUACCGGAUAAUGUCUUCGGACCAAAGAUUUAUCGCCUUUGGAUGGGCCCGCGUUGGAUUAGCUAGUUGGUAGGGUAAAAGCCUACCAAGGCGACGAUUCAUAGCUGGUCUGAGAGGAUGAUCAGACACACUGGGACUGAGACACGGCCCAGACUCCUACGGGAGGCAGCAGUGGGGAAUAUUGGACAAUGGGCGAAAGGCUGAUCCAGCAAGGCCGCGUGAGUGAUGAAGGCCUUAGGGUUGUAAAGCUCUUUUACCCGGGAUGAUAAUGACAGUACCGGGAGAAUAAGCUCCGGCUAACUCCGUG